This 406-nucleotide ribosomal RNA is filed under the name uncultured bacterium. RNAcentral's name for it is "partial 16S ribosomal RNA". It matches the Rfam family "Bacterial small subunit ribosomal RNA", at positions 29 to 526 of the family's 1533-position model. The record is from RNAcentral.
AUUGAACGCUGGCGGCAGGCCUAACACAUGCAAGUCGAGCGCGCGGCGGACGGGAGAGAAAUGUAUGGGGAUCCGCCCGAUAGGGGGGGAUAACUACUGGACACGGGGGCAAAUACCGCAUUCUAUGGGAUGCACCCAUAUGGGAUUCGAGAGUAGGUGGGGUAAAGGCUCAUAUAGGCGACGAUCUCUAGCUGGUCUGAGAGGAUGAACAGCCACACUGGGACUGAGACACGGCCCAGACUCCUACGGGAGGCAGCAGUGGGGAAUAUUGCACAAUGGGCGCAAGCCUGAUGCAGCCAUGCCGCGUGUAUGAAGAAGGCCUUAGGGUUGUAAAGUACUUUCAGCGGGGAGGCGUUACCCGCAGAAGAAGCACCGGCUAACUCCGUGCCAGCAGCCGCGGUAAUAC